GCAAUUCUUAGAGGACCUAGCAGAAAAGAACUUGCAGUGGGAAGCAACUAGGGAACCUACAAGAGGUGCUAUGCACCAAGUAUCCAUAUCCCUAGCUACAGAGGCCAAAAUAGAUACUAUACUACAUAGGUUAGAGGCCUUAGAACUCAAGGGACACACCCAAGUGAACUAGUUUCAACAUCUACUUGCAAUAGAUGUAAUGUCACAGACCACAUCAUGGAAGAAUAUCCCUUUUUGAUGAACCCAAUUAGAAACGAAGUAGCACAGGUUAAUGCUACCUACUACAAAUCUUCAAAUGACCCUUAUGCACCAACGUAUAACCCA
RNAcentral lists this long non-coding RNA (324 nucleotides) under Elaeis guineensis (African oil palm). RNAcentral describes it as "long non-coding RNA (EGUI_LNC080892)". The record is from RNAcentral. Lineage: Eukaryota; Viridiplantae; Streptophyta; Magnoliopsida; Arecales; Arecaceae.